CAUUUUCACAUAUUGCAAAGUCCAGCUGAGAAUUACCACCGAGGAGAGGCUCAUUACUGGGGAAUGGAAUAGCACCUUGGUUUUGUUCUGAAGUCUCCAGAACUUCUGCUUCUGAAGGACAUAACUGAAUCAACUCUUUAUUCGGCACAUUGCUGCAGUUUACAGUUAAAGCUGGAGAUGGUGACUUUCUCAAGAGAUGUGAUGGACUUAACUCCCCAGGCGGUGAAGAAUGCAACCUUUGUAAUUCUAAUAUUUCAUUUGCAAUUUCAGUUCCUAUACUUCCAGCA
RNAcentral lists this long non-coding RNA (287 nucleotides) under Gallus gallus (chicken). The record is from RNAcentral. Lineage: Eukaryota; Metazoa; Chordata; Aves; Galliformes; Phasianidae.